RNAcentral lists this long non-coding RNA (3812 nucleotides) under Homo sapiens (human). RNAcentral describes it as "HSALNT0381520". Lineage: Eukaryota; Metazoa; Chordata; Mammalia; Primates; Hominidae. The record is from RNAcentral.
AGUAAGAACCCGGGACACCAAGAUCUGAGGAGGGUCCCUGGCUGGCAACACUCCCUGCGUGCCGGGAGGAGUGAAGGGAGAGGACAGCUGAUAACUGGUCUCCGUGGAGCCUUCCGGGCCCUCUUCCUGGCUGCUUCCAGCGCGUCCUUCUCUGUGAUAAGCCGUGACUGUGAACAUGGCUGUGAGUCCUUCUAGAGAACUCGCAAGUAUGCCAAGGUCUUGGGGGCCCUACUGACUUGCAGCUGGUGUUGGAUGGAGCCCCACAUGGACUGUCCCUCCUUGCUGCGCCAUGGCCUCCCCACCGUGGGUCACACUGGUUUUCGGGGGCUAAGCAGCGGUUUUCCCUCCGCUUCCUCCUGGCUUCCCCGCUCCCCUGCCUCCUCCCCUCCCCCGUCGCAGCCCCGUCAGGCUCACCCAGAACUCUUCCAGCAGGGCCACCGCCUCCUCCCAGCUUAGCGGCUGACGGCUGCACACCCAGGCCUGCGUGUCGGCUGGCAGCGCGCUCAGAAACUGCUCCAGCACCAGCAGCUCCAGCAUCUGCUCCUUGGUGUGCACCUCGGGCCGCAGCCGGUCCCGGCACAGGGCGCGUAGCAGCCCCAGCGCCUCGUGCGGGCCCGGCGCCUCGCCCAGGUGGAAGCGGCGGAAGCGGUGCCACGAGGAGCCCAGCGCCAGGCCCUCGGCCUCCUGCUUCAGCGGCACCGUCAGCUCCAUGGGGCCUCCUGGACGGCAGCGCCUGCCCCGCGUGGCCCAGGGUGCAAAGAGGUCUCUGUGAGGGGCGGCGCUCACUCGGGCGGUGAGGAAAGGGUGUCUGUCUCGUGGGAUCCCACGGAGUCAAGUGCCGGCUCUGCCCCUCGUUGGGCCCCUUCCGCGGCUUCUGUACCUCAGUCCUGCAGCUCCUCCCGCAGCCUGUCCUACAGCACAAAGGCUCUGGAGCAAAUUCCAGCUCUGCCUCCCACCAGCUCUGUGUCCUUGGACAAGGUACAAGGCACCUUUUGUAAUACACUGUCUCUCCAUGUCCUUGGCUCACUCUCUCAGGCGAGGCCUCCCAAGCCUCUUUACCUCCGCGCACAUGUGCACAGAGCUCACCGGAACUCCUCUUACACAUUUUUGAUUAUUCGUUGCUGGUACCUAGAAAUACUAUUUUUGUGUAUUGAUCCUUCUAGCCAGUGACUUUGCAGAAUUUACUUAUUAAUUCUAGUAGCUUUACUUUAGAUGACUUAGGGUUUUCCAUGUAUACGAUCAUGUCUUCUGGGAAUAAAGGCAGCAUUAUAUCCUCCUUACCAAUUUCAAUGCCUUUUCUCUCCCUUGCCUUGCUGCAUUGGCUGGUGUCUCCAAUAGAGUGUCGAAAAGAAGUGCCGAGGGUAGACAUUCUUGCACAGUUCCCAAUUUUAGAAAGAAAGCAUUCGGGCUUUCACCAUCAUUAAGUGUGGUGUCAACCUUGAGUUUGUCACUUACACCCUUUAUGAGGCUGAGGAAAUUCCCUUCUGUUCCUAAAAUGCUCAGUUUUUAUUACAAAUGGGUAUUAAAUUCUGUCAAGGGCCGGGCGCAGUGGCUUACGCCUGUAAUCCCAGCAUUUUGAGAGGCCUAGGUGGGCGGAGUUUGAGACCAGCCUGGCCAACAUAGUGAAACCCCGUCUCUACUAAAAAUUCAAAAAAAAAAAAAAAAAAAAAAAAAAAAGCCAGGCGUGGUGGCACUGGCCUGUACUCCCAGCUACUUGGGAGGCUGAGGCAGGAGAAUCUCUUGAACCCAGGAGGCGGAGGUUGUGGUGAGCGGAUAUUGAGGCAUUGCACUCCAGCCUGGGCAACAGAGUGAGACUCGAUCUAAAAAAAAAAAAAAAAUUCUGUCAAAUGCUUUUUCUAUAUCUGUUGAGAUGAUAUGAUGGUAUUGACAGGGGUUUUCCCCUUCAUUCUGUUAAUAUGGUGAAUUACAUUGAUAUUAAAAUAUUAAACCAAUCUUGUAAGUCAGGGAAAAUUGACACUUGGUUAUGGUUAUAUAUAUAUAUAUCUUACUGGAUUUGAUUUGUUAAAAUUAAAAACUUUUCUUUUUCGAAACCACUUUAUUGGCCUGGUGCAGUGGUGCACGUCUGUAAUCACAGGACUUUGGGAGGCUGAGUUGGAGACCAACAUGGACAACAUGACGAAACUCUGUCUCCACUAAAAAUACAAAAAUUAGCUGGGGGUGGUGGUGCACGCCUGUAGUCCCAGCUACUCAGGAGGCUGAGGUGGAAGUCACUUGAGCCCAGGAGGUCAAAGCUGCAGUGAGCUAAGAUCCCACCAGUGUACCCCAGCCUGGGAGACAGAGCAAGACCUUAUCUCAAAACAAACAAACAAAAAACAAAGCAACAACAACAACAAAAAAGCUGCUGCAGUGGCUCACGUCUGUAAUCCCAACACUUUGGGAGCGUGGGGGGGGGCGGGGGGGGUGGAUCACCUGAGGUCAGGAGUUCGAGACCAGCCUGGCCAACAUGGUGAAACUCUGUCUAUACUGAAAAUACAGAAUUAGCCAGGUGUGGUGGCACACACAUGUAGUCCCAGGUACUCGGGAGGCUGAGACAGGAGAAUCUCUUGAACCCAGGAGGUGGAGACUGCAGUGAGCUGAGAUUCCACCACUGCACUCCAGCCUGGGCAAGACAGAGCAAGACUCUGUCUCAAAAACAAAACACAUACACACACACACACACACACACACACACACACAACCAGAUUAUUUUAUUGAGAUAGAAUUCAUAUGCCAUACAAUUCAAUUCACCCACUUAAAGUGUACAAUUAUUUUAGUAUAUCGUCAGAUACACACAACUAUCACCACAAUGAUUUUUAGAACAUUUUCAUCACCUCAUGAAGAAAUCCUAUACUUUUCUCUUUAUUUUGAGACAGAGUUUGGCUCUUGUUGGCCGGGCUGGAGGGCUGGGAUUACAGGCGUGAGCCACCACCGCACCUGGCCAGAAAUCCUAUACUCUUUAGCUGUCACUGUUGACCCUCUCUCCCCGAGGCAUAAACAUCCACUAAUCUACCUUAUCUUCAGAGUUUACUGUAGAGAUUUUAUUAAAUGAAAUAAUAUAAAAUGUUAUCUUUGCGACUGGCUUUUUUCCCUUAGCAUGAUGUUUUCAAGGCUCAUCUGUGUUGUGGUAUACAGCAGUACUUCAUUUCUUUCUCGAUUUGAAUAAUGUUCCAUUGUAUGAUCUACCACAUACUGUUCAUCCAUUCAUCAGCUGAUGGGCAUUUAGGCUGUUUUCACCUUUUAUCUAUUGUGAAUAAUGCCAUUAUGAACAUUCCUAUACAAGUUUUUGUGUGUACAUGUGUUUUUAUUACCUUGGGGGUAUGUAUCUGGGAAUGAAUUGCUGGGUCAUAUGGAAACUCUGUAUUUAAUCAAUGAGAGAACUGCCAGAUUGUUUUCCAAAGUGACUGCACCAAUUUAUAUUCCCAUCAGUCAUAUAUGAGGGUCUGAUUUUUGUUUUCUCACCAACACGUACCUUUUUUUUUGACACAGGGUCUCACUCUGUUGCUCAGGCUAGACUGCAGUGACAUGAUCAUGGCUCACUGCAGCCUCAGCCUUCCUGGGCUCAGGUGAUCCUCCCACCUCAGCUUCCUGAGUAGCUGGGACUUCAGGCACAUGCUACCACACCCAGCUAAUUUUUUAACAUGGUUUAGAGUUAACUGUUUACUUCCUGGGAGUGGGGAAAUUUUCUCUUUAUCAAAAGUUGGCCCUAAUAUUCUAAGAGUUAUAGGUAAAUGUGAAUCAAUAUGUCAGUUCCCCAUCUCCCCGCUCAUCUUUCUUAACUUUGUAGCUUAAUGACAUGAAUAUACAGAGCGAAC